Molecule: long non-coding RNA, 2415 nt
Filed under: Populus tremula
Lineage: Eukaryota; Viridiplantae; Streptophyta; Magnoliopsida; Malpighiales; Salicaceae
Description: long non-coding RNA (PTRE_LNC002095)
Source: RNAcentral
UUAUCUGGCCAUUUUGAUUAAUGCAAAAAAAAUAAAUUUCCACUUGGUUAAUAGCUUUACUCUACAUGUUCUUUUUUUACUUAAUAAUCCAAACAAGGCACGACAACUGAGGUGAAUUUUCUAUUCCACUUGGGAUUUCAUUCUUUUGUUUCAAUGGGUCCUACUCUAUGAAGUAUGAACGCAUCUUGUUUGACAAUGUCUAUUUACAAUCCCAAUUAGCUAGGCCCCGCGUCCACGUGGGUAGUCACGCUAGAGUCUAGACCUCUUCGUUCUCUGCAUGUCCAUUCACAGCCAAACACGUGUACGCUUCCGAUUGAAGUAGGUCCCACAUCCACGUCACCAUCAUGCCACAUGGACAGGCAGUAACCUAAUAUUAAAUUUAUUUAUUAAAAUAAUUAGCAGCACUGCAAGAUUUGGUGGGCUGGUCAUGAUAUUGACUAUAAAAUUAAGCCAUUUUUUUGCAUAAUUGAUGACAAUAAUAUUAUUAAUAUGAUUAAGAUCCAUAAAUGUAUUUUUUUAUGGAUCCAAGCUAGUCUGUGGCUUGAAUUUUUAAUAUCAUGAUUAUCGUUUCCAGGUAUAAACUUGAAUCCGACUUACGGUUAAAACAAUAUCCACUUGUGUGUUGAUGGGUUAUGAAAAAAGCAAAGUGUUUUUCGUGUCUUCUUGAAGGGCACAUUGGGCGGUCGAGAAUGAAAUGGUGGGGGCCCUAUUUUGGGCCCCACAAUCACUCGUCUUUUUUAAUUGAACAAGAAACCUUAUCAUAAAAUCAUGUACAUUUCACAAUCAAUCAACCGUCCAAGCCCAUGGGGAUGCCAAAAAUCACGACCACUUUCUUUACUUCUUGCUGCUGCUGCUUGGGUUGUUCUUGUUCGUUUCACUGCUUGCUUGCUGUGAUGGUAUAGUACAGUGCUAUGGUUGUGCAGUGGUAUUAUUGACCGACGUGGGAUCCAUUUUUACUGUGGAAAGGCAUGCUCUGGACCCAUUUUUACAUGUUGGGUUGGCUAGGUGUGGACCCUGACCCAGCUCCAGCUUAAUAGGUAUUGGACCUAUCGGUGUUCAGAUCAGUAUCCUAUGCUCCCGUUUGGCUGGCUACUACAUGUUGUUGCCCGCACAGUAUAUUUUUUUGGGAUAUUUAGUUUAUCACACUUACUUAUAGAUUGGACUCGAUAGACAGCCUGCGCGUUGCGAUAUGAAUAAAACAAAAUAAAGUAAAAAAAAUCAUGUUCAGACACACCUAAUGUGUUUUCUUUAAACAAGAAAAAUCUAAUAGAUGGGUUGUAGGCCUGUCUAGUUCAACAAACUAAUAUUAAAAAAUAAAAAUUAAAAAUAUCAAUAAAACAAAAAAAAUUAACUAACAAAAAGACAAAAAUAAUAACUCAAGUAAAGCUGAUGAACCUACCAAACUUAUAAACCGGAUCGUGAAAUGAGAAUAGCUUCAUGAAAAGAAAAUUAAAAAAACUUUACAAAGCUCAAUUCCCAACUAAUCUAAUAUUGAAAAAUAAGAUUGAGAAAAACAAUGUUACUAAAAAUAACAUUAAAAAGAUAAGGAUCGAAUUUGACAUAAAAAAAAAAUUAACAACAAAAACAAUUCACAACCCCUUUUUCUAUUUUGGAUAGAGUGAUCCAUGGAAACCUAUGAGAAGAGAAAGAAAAGAUAUAGGCUAAGAAGAAAAAAAAAAAAGUCAUUAGAGUUACACCAAAGUUCAUCAAUAAACACGCACUGUCUCAUAAAAAAGUUAUUAUUGAGACGAUUCCAACGACACUGGUAAAAAAACUCUUUAGAUCUCGAAGAAGUCACACACGCCACUACAACACGGUGGCCUUUUCCAUAUGCUAGCGUGUGUUACACCCAUUAACCAACUUUUGCUUUUAGUUUCUAAUCCAACUAAAAAAGGGGUUGAAAACUUCAAUGUGGUCCUUGAAGUUUAGAUUGUUUUGAAUCAAUAAAAUUGAAUUUGAUUUUUUCAAAUCAAAUAUCAACAAAAUAUCGUAUUUUUUUUUUGCCAACACCUCAAGAACUUCGUACCAAGCCAAUCGAAACAAAUCAAAAUGCCCAAACUUAAAUCAACCUAAUAUAAUUGAUAAAAAGAAAGUUCAGGCCACCAAAAAAAUCAUAUAAUAAGAGAUAGAUAGAGAGAGAGAGAGAGAGAGAGUAACUCACAAAGCAUUAAUGAGAAUCUACAUUCACACACCACCAUCGGAUCAGAUUACCUCAUGUUUAACGAAAUGAUCAAAAUGUUAUGCUGAACCUCACCCAAUGAUCACUCUGUUGAGCUUAUAGCAUGUGAGUUGCGGUGUGUCUUAUCCUUGGAAAAACUGAGAACCUUGACGUGAAAUGUUGACGGGACAACAUAAAUUAUAGUUUGAUACGAUAUUUUGGAAGGCUCAUGGCCUCCACAAGCUAGUAAAAGUAAA